UACGGAGGAUGCGAGCGUUAUCCGGAUUUAUUGGGUUUAAAGGGUGCGUAGGCGGAUUUUUAAGUCAGCGGUAAAAUGUCCGGGCUCAACCCGGGCCGGCCGUUGAAACUGGGGAUCUUGAGUGGGCGAGAAGUAUGCGGAAUGCGUGGUGUAGCGGUGAAAUGCAUAGAUAUCACGCAGAACUCCGAUUGCGAAGGCAGCAUACCGGCGCCCGACUGACGCUGAAGCACGAAGGCGUGGGUAUCGAACAGG
Molecule: ribosomal RNA, 252 nt
Filed under: uncultured bacterium
Lineage: Bacteria
Description: partial 16S ribosomal RNA
Rfam family: Bacterial small subunit ribosomal RNA
Source: RNAcentral